This 713-nucleotide long non-coding RNA is filed under the name Mytilus galloprovincialis (Mediterranean mussel). The record is from RNAcentral. Lineage: Eukaryota; Metazoa; Mollusca; Bivalvia; Mytilida; Mytilidae.
UGUGGCGUCCACUUUUAUUAAAGAUUAAUACUUUAGUUUUUUUUAAGUUUACAUUAAGGCACCAGGUAUCACAGUAUGAUUCCAAUGCCUUCAAGCGCUUUUGAAGUCCAUCUGCAGAAUCAGAAAAUACAAUGACAUCAUCUGCAUACAUAAGACAGUCUAUGCGACUAGUGCUGAGUUUUACACUAUCAGGACAAUUUAGUAAACAGUUAGGUAGAUCAUUUAUGAAUAGAUUAAAAAGGGCAGGGCUUAAAACAUCCCCUUGUCUAACCCCAAUAUAAGAGUUAAAACAUGGACCUAGUUUGUUAUCAACUUUUACUCUUAAAUUAUUAAGUGUAUACAUGUGUUUAAUUAACUGGUAAAAUUUUCCCCCAAUGUCUGACUUGAGCAUUUUGAUAAGAAUACCUGGGUGUAUCACAGUAUCAAAAGCUCUUUUAAAGUCAAUAAAACAAGCAUAAAAUUUUACUUCCCUUACAGUUAGUAUAUUUAUCAAUUAAGCAUUUGAGGAUAAACAUGUGAUCUGUUGUCCUUGAUUUAUUUCUGAAGCCAGCUUGGCAAUCAGUCAAAAUAUUUCUCUCAUCUAAAUGUUUAGAAAGUCUUGUAUUUAACACAACAUUAAAUAACUUUCCAAUACAAGAAUUUAUAGCUAUACCUCUGUAAUUUUCAGGGUUAUUUAUAUCUCCUGAUUUAUGUAUAGGUAUACAGUAUCCUUC